GCGCCGACGGAGUUCCCGUCUUCUUCCCUGCAUCGCGAGCGCAGUGCCGGCCUGCCUACGUCGGGGUUGCUCGCCACAUGGCCGACCCGGAGGUGGAGACGCUGCGACCAGGUUCAUCACCAAGCCGCAUCCCUGAACCUCCGUAGCGAGCGUUGUAGAUGCAGUACCGCCGCCGUAUCCCGCCCCCAUGAUCCAGACGCGCAGGCCAGAUCCGCCGCCGCCGGGAGCAGCGUAGAGUCAUGGCCGUGCGCUAUCAUACAGCCUCAAUGCGUCAACCCCGGCCAUCUCUACGCGGGACGACUAUGCCUCAUCAUGGAUGACCUCCAACACUGUCCUGCUGCCCAGAAGGAACAAAACAUCCGGCCCUCGGACGACUUCCCCUGUCCCCGCUAAGAUCGCCCCUUUUAAACAGCUGAGCCGCAUCGCUCCUAUGGUCUCCACCAUCAGCUUCGUGUCUCCCCCUUAGGUGACCUCAAAAGCACAUGCGUAGUAUCAAUAUCAUAGUUGUAAUUACUAAUCCAUACAAUUGUUAUUAUUUCGCUGUUAUUUGCAGACCUGUUUUUUGUGUGCUAAAGUUGGCUGGGUACUUUGGCCACUUUCACUUGAAAUAUCAAAGAUAGAAAGGAGCAUAUAUGGUUUCAUCUUUCAUGCCUCUCAUGUUUCGGUACUGUACCUACAAAUUUUUAGAUAUACAUUGGAGUACAGCAUAGUAUUAAAGUGCACCACAUCGACUAUAUCAUUGCCUCCAAAUGGUUACUUGGUCUCUGUAUUAUAGCUGAUGGUGUAAUCGAUGUUUCAGAUCUGAUACAGUCACCGGUUAUGAGAACUUUUUGAUUUGCUUAGUAACUUUUGUUGUAGAUUCUAGGUUUGUUUUGUCAGCUAACAGGACCUUCCAUACAUUAACAAAUACAGUAUAUUUUUAGCUGAUUGUUACCUACUUGACUUCAUCUGGCCACACCAGCAAGUUACAUAUAUAUGUUGACUCCUGCAUAUGAAUGACAGCAAUAUAUUGGCAUCUACCUGCUGAUCACGAGUUCACGACUGAGAUUUGAGAUGGAUAAGGUAUCCCUUCUUAACACGAAUAUGUUUUGUUUUCCUGAAAGAAAAACUUGACAGUUCAAACAUAGUUUUUAUAUUUGCAUUUAUGCAAAUUAUGUUGGGAUCUCCUUAUUCUCAUGAUUUGUUAUUCAGGACAUUGUCGGUCUGCCGCUUUAGAUCAUCUUUUAAUUUUCUUUAUCAUGAACAUCUAUUUCAAUGUUGUUUCUCAGCGAUUGGUGUAGGUCAUUCAGAACCCACUCCAACAUUUCGUCGGGUUUGUUACGUCUUUGCCUCCAUUUAGUUAGCCACUUGAGUUUUCCAAGUUAUCAUGCAUGUAUUACUGGAUAAUUCAUCACACUUUUAAUCUAUAGUAGACUAAGGAGAUUUAUGCUGCUACCCCAUAAGUAAUACUUCAAUGGUGAGCUACCUUCUGCAUUGUAGAGUUCUCUUUUUAAGGUAUGCCAUUCUAAAUCAUUUUCUGAUUUUAUAUUAAUAAUCGUUUGUUCAGUCCCUAUUGUUGUGACCUCAAUGGUAAUUAUUGCCUCCUAAUUCUAGCAAAUAUUCACCGGUUAUGUAUGGUUCUCUAUUUGCGCAUCACCAGUUGUGAAGGGUCCAAUAUAAUCAAUCUACUAAACUUUUCUUGGGAUAUUCAUACGUAAAUUUCUAUCAAAUGUACACAAUUUCCAUUUUUAGUCAGUGUAAACUUACCAGAUUAUUCAAGUUUUUCUUAAUUUGCUUCUGGGAACAACCCAAUAUAUGCCCAAGGAGUAGUGAAGCGGGUGAUCUAAUCUUGCUCUUUCUUUUGCUUCAGAAUGAAUUGUCGUCGGGCAAACUGAAUAAAAUACUGUAGAGAACCGCGACACCAAGGGUCUUCUCCUUUGCCAAGAGGUUAUUUCCACUACAGGUGCCAUCAACUAUGUAACCAUGUUUAUUUCUGUUUACUACUCAUAAUCUUGAUAUUUUUGUUCUCUUUCAUUUAUGAUUUGGCAAGGCAUCGUCUAUGUACUGUGUUAUGCCAGCAUUUUAUCUUCCAAUCGUAUAAUCCAUCUACACAGAGAACAAAUGUAGAAAAUAGAAGUGGGCUGAUUUCUUGCCCAGCUUUGCUACGUGGUGCACAUGUAUUUUCUGCUCCAAUGUAAUCACGCCAUGUUAAUGCUAAGCCCCUUGAUUGAUUUUGUGUGCAGGAAGGAAAGGCUCUAUUGUCUUAACAAGGAUGAAAAGUAUAAUAGCAUACAUAAACCAACAUGGAC
RNAcentral lists this long non-coding RNA (2288 nucleotides) under Triticum aestivum (bread wheat). RNAcentral describes it as "long non-coding RNA (TAES_LNC023305)". The record is from RNAcentral. Lineage: Eukaryota; Viridiplantae; Streptophyta; Magnoliopsida; Poales; Poaceae.